GAUGAACGCUAGCGGCAGGCCUAAUACAUGCAAGUCAAGGGGUAGCAAUACACCGGCGGACGGGUGCGUAACGCGUACACAACAUACCUUUGAGCGGGGGAUAGCGGUGGGAAACUGCCGGUAAUACCCCAUAACACUGCGAGGUGGCAUUACUUUGCAGUUAAAGUUUCGGCGCUCAGAGAUUGGUGUGCGUCUGAUUAGGUAGUUGGCGGGGUAACGGCCCACCAAGCCGACGAUCAGUAGGGGGUGUGAGAGCAUGGCCCCCCACAUGGGUACUGAGACACGGACCCAACUCCUACGGGAGGCAGCAGUAAGGAAUAUUGGACAAUGGAGGGAACUCUGAUCCAGCCAUGCCGCGUGAAGGAUGAAGGCGCUCUGCGUUGUAAACUUC
RNAcentral lists this ribosomal RNA (391 nucleotides) under uncultured bacterium. RNAcentral describes it as "bacterial SSU rRNA". It matches the Rfam family "Bacterial small subunit ribosomal RNA", at positions 28 to 433 of the family's 1533-position model. The record is from RNAcentral.